Molecule: microRNA precursor, 60 nt
Filed under: Python bivittatus (Burmese python)
Lineage: Eukaryota; Metazoa; Chordata; Lepidosauria; Squamata; Pythonidae
Description: Pbv-Mir-1-P2_pre stem-loop
Rfam family: mir-1 microRNA precursor family
About the family: This family represents the microRNA (miRNA) mir-1 family. miRNAs are transcribed as ~70nt precursors (modelled here) and subsequently processed by the Dicer enzyme to give a ~22nt product.
Source: RNAcentral
ACACGCUUCUUUAUAAUCCCAUAUGAAUUACAUUGCUAUGGAAUGUAAGGAAGUGUGUGG